This 103-nucleotide small nuclear RNA is filed under the name Myotis brandtii (Brandt's bat). Lineage: Eukaryota; Metazoa; Chordata; Mammalia; Chiroptera; Vespertilionidae. The record is from RNAcentral.
GCGCUUUGGCAGCACAUAUACUAAAAGUGGAACAAUACAGAGAAAAUCAGCAUGGCCCCUGCGCAAGGAUGACACGCAAAUUCAUGAAGCGUUUCAUAUAAAA